UAUAUAGUAUAUAGUAGGGUAUAAAUAUAAGUACUUGACUAUACAAUAUACUAUCAGUGUAAGAAUAUGUAGACUGGGUGUGCGAAAGACAAUAUUGUUGUAUAAAAUGGUCUGUAAUAUCAAAAUGGUUUAAUUAACACAUAUCACAGAAGUAAAUGUUCCAGUAUAUGGGGCGUAGUGUAGUACAGGGUACAUGGUGCAAGGGUGACAGGUAUGUUAGUGCAGUUCUGUGAUGGUGGCUCUGACAGAGGUAGAUGAGUUAUAGAGUCUUAUUGCGGUUGGAAUGAACGAUUUCCUGUAUCGCUCCUUAGAGCAGCGGGGUUGGAUGAGCCUGUGGCUGAAGCUGCUCUUUAGCUUGUCCAGUGUUUUGUGGAGGGGGUGAGAGGGAUUGUCCAUGAUUGCCAGCAGUUUUGCCAGCAUCCUGUUCUCCACCACCUCCUCCAUGGUGACAAGCUUAGAGCCAACCACAGACUCUGCUUUCCUUAUGAUUUUGUUCAGUCUGUUGGCAUCCUUUGUCCUGAUGCCCGCACCCCAGGACACCACAGCAAAGAAGAUGGUGCUCGCCACAACAGACUGAUAGAACAUCUGCAGCAUCUUGUUGCAGACAUUGAAGGACCCGAGCCUCCUCAGGAAGUAAAGCCGGCUCAGGCCCUUCUUGUAGACGGCCUCUGUGUGGGUGGACCAGUCCAGUUUAUUGUCCAAUGUGAUACCGAGGUACUUGUAUGCAGGUACCACCUCCACAUCCGUCCCACCGAUGCAGACAGGAGAGGGCAGGGGCUUGUUCCUCCUGAAAUCCACCACCAUCUCCUUCGUCUUCUCCACGUUGAGCUGCAGGCGGUUCUCCCCACACCACUUCACAAAGCGGUCGACCAGGUCCCUGUACUCAGCCUCCCUCCCGCCCUCAAUACACCCCACAAUGGCUGUGUCAUCAGAGAACUUCUGCAGAUGACACGACUCAGUGCAGUGCUUAAAAUCAGCAGUGUAUGUGGUGAAGAGGAAGGGGGACAGUACAGUUCCCUGGGGGGCCCCGAUGUUACUGAUCAGACGAUCAGACACACAAUUCUGUAAUCUCACAAACUGUGGUCUGCCCGUCAGAUAGUCAUCGACCCAAGUGAUGAGGGGAGCACUCACCCGCGUGCCCUCCAGUUUGGCCUUCAGCAGUCUGGGCUGGAUGGUGUUGAAGGCGCUGGAGAAAUCAAAAAACAUGAUCCGGACUGAGGUGUUGGGUCUGUCCAGGGAGGAGUAGGCCUUCUGCAGCAGGUAGAUGAUUGCAUCAUCAACCCCAACAUGGGGCUGAUAUGCAAACUGCAGGGGGUCUUGUGAUGGGCACACCAGUGGUCUGAGGUGUGCCAAUACCAGUCUCUCCAUGACCUUCAUGAUGUGAGAGGUCAGUGCCACCGGCCUGUAGUCCUCCAGUGCAGCAGGAUGUCCUUUUUUGGGCACUGGGACCAGGCAGGAUGUUUUCCAGAGCACUGGCACUCUCUGAAGGUGUAGGCUCAGGUUGAAGAGGUGCUGGAGAACUCCACAGAGCUGGCUGGAACAUGCCUUCAGCACACGAGGGCUGAUGCGGUCCGGUCCAGCAGCUUUCCUCUGUUUGAGCCUCUCCAGCUCUCUCCUCACCUGGCUGGCUGUGAUGUGUAGUCCAGACUGGAGGGUAGGGGAUGUCAGUGGUGGGUUUGAGGGUGGUGCAAAGAGGUGUGUGUUGCAGGAGGUGGUGGUGGUGGGGGACUGUGGGUGAUGUGAGGAUGUCCUGGGGGUGGGAGGUGUGAAAAAGUCUGUGGUGAAAGCCAGCGGAGGGGUGGGGGGAGAUGGUGACGGGUGUGGUGUGGGGCAGAGGAUGAUGGGGGGAGGUGGGGGGUUGUUGCUCUGAGAAGCAGUAGAGGCAGUCGUAGAGGCAGUGGAGGGUCCGCUGGGGGUGGGGUGGUUGUUGUUGAA
RNAcentral lists this unclassified non-coding RNA (1935 nucleotides) under Hevea brasiliensis (rubber tree). The record is from RNAcentral. Lineage: Eukaryota; Viridiplantae; Streptophyta; Magnoliopsida; Malpighiales; Euphorbiaceae.